RNAcentral lists this transfer-messenger RNA (351 nucleotides) under Actinomycetes bacterium. Its description in RNAcentral is "Actinobacteria bacterium transfer-messenger RNA". It matches the Rfam family "transfer-messenger RNA". Rfam says of the family: Bacterial tmRNA, also known as 10Sa RNA or SsrA, is named for its dual tRNA and mRNA-like properties. Lineage: Bacteria; Bacillati; Actinomycetota; Actinomycetes. The record is from RNAcentral.
GGGGGUGUACUGGCUUCGACCUGGGCGGAUAUCGCUCGGGGGAAGCGGGCCGAGGUCCCCGGAUGCCUCGUUAAAAGCCGGGAGAAAUACAAGCGCCAAUACUGAAUACGCGCUCGCUGCCUAAGUAGUUAGGUAGCCGUCCGCCUCGAUCCGCCUGCGGUCGAGGGCCGGGCGUCGUGAGCAGGCUCACGGAGGCGGCUCCGUCCGGGGGCCGCCGUCGGACACCGCACCCGGACUGGCCGAGAGGUCCUCCGCCGGUGGGAGCCUCGAGGCGAGAUUCACCACCGGCUGCGCCCGGAGAAGACCCGAACGAUCGCCGAGGGACAGGGGUUCGAUUCCCCUCACCUCCAA